RNAcentral lists this ribosomal RNA (492 nucleotides) under uncultured bacterium. RNAcentral describes it as "partial 16S ribosomal RNA". It matches the Rfam family "Bacterial small subunit ribosomal RNA", at positions 29 to 507 of the family's 1533-position model. The record is from RNAcentral.
AGUGAACGCUGGCGGUAGGCCUAACACAUGCAAGUCGAACGGCAGCACAGUAAGAGCCUGCUCUUACGGGUGGCGAGUGGCGGACGGGUGAGGAAUACAUCGGAAUCUACUUUUUCGUGGGGGAUAACGUAGGGAAACUUACGCUAAUACCGCAUACGACCUACGGGUGAAAGCAGGGGAUCUUCAGACCUUGCGCGAUUGAAUGAGCCGAUGUCGGAUUAGCUAGUUGGCGGGGUAAAGGCCCACCAAGGCGACGAUCCGUAGCUGGUCUGAGAGGAUGAUCAGCCACACUGGAACUGAGACACGGUCCAGACUCCUACGGGAGGCAGCAGUGGGGAAUAUUGGACAAUGGGCGCAAGCCUGAUCCAGCCAUACCGCGUGGGUGAAGAAGGCCUUCGGGUUGUAAAGCCCUUUUGUUGGGAAAGAAAAGCAGCAGGUUAAUACCCCGCUGUUCUGACGGUACCCAAAGAAUAAGCACCGGCUAACUUCGUG